RNAcentral lists this ribosomal RNA (243 nucleotides) under uncultured bacterium. RNAcentral's name for it is "partial 16S ribosomal RNA". It matches the Rfam family "Bacterial small subunit ribosomal RNA", at positions 111 to 354 of the family's 1533-position model. The record is from RNAcentral.
UAACGCGUGGGUAACCUGCCUCAUACAGGGGGAUAACAGUUAGAAAUGGCUGCUAAUACCGCAUAAGCGCACAGUACUGCAUGGUACAGUGUGAAAAACUCUGGUGGUAUGAGAUGGACCCGCGUCUGAUUAGCUAGUUGGUGAGGUAAGGGCUCACCAAGGCAACGAUCAGUAGCCGACCUGAGAGGGUGAACGGCCACAUUGGGACUGAGACACGGCCCAAACUCCUACGGAAGGCAGCAG